UAUGGACUUAUCUGUACUCAGCCAACUGUAGAAGAACAACCCUUCAGAGCUCCUGAGAGUUGGUCGUCUUCAUACAGCUACUCUGGAUUUAGCUAAUAACUUGGCCUGCCACAGUCUCAUGGAUCUGGCAGAAGACAUGAAACUCCUGGGUCAGAAGAAAAG
This is a long non-coding RNA of Homo sapiens (human), 162 nucleotides long. RefSeq lists it as uncharacterized. The transcript has 3 exons. Lineage: Eukaryota; Metazoa; Chordata; Mammalia; Primates; Hominidae. The record is from RefSeq and is a predicted model, not a curated record.